Perognathus longimembris pacificus (Pacific pocket mouse) is the source of this 140-nucleotide long non-coding RNA. RefSeq lists it as uncharacterized. The record is from RefSeq and is a predicted model, not a curated record. The transcript is spliced from 3 exons. Lineage: Eukaryota; Metazoa; Chordata; Mammalia; Rodentia; Heteromyidae.
CGCCAGCAGGCGGGCGAGGGGGCCCACGCCGCCCCCUCCCCGGCCUCCCCUCCUUCCGCAGCCACCUCCCCCAACCCGCCACCAGGGGGCCCCCCGCUUCCAUCUGCCUCUCCCCUAGCUUCAAGAAAUUACUAGAAAGU